AUGCAAGACGUGUUUAGUAAAUAAAAAAAAAAUAAGGAUUUUACUAAAUACAGCAAUUAUUACCACUUUGGUAGAUUUUUAUAAUAUGAAAUCCUGACUUCGAAAGGAAAGUUUUCUAUUCGAUUAUUUGUUGAAUUUUUUGAAAUUUAUGUUUCCAUUUACUCUGCUUUCGAUAUCGAACUUAGAUUGCAAGUGGCAUCAGUGAAUAAUGAGUAAACAACAAUAGUAACUCCGAGUGUUAAACGAGAUUUUAUCGAUUAUCUUGCGUAUUUACUUUAUUUAUUAAAGAUGGGUCUGCUAAAUCUCAUUACUAACAAUCCUUUCCUUCUCUGCUCUAUAUUUGUAUUAGAAAAAAAACCUAACAGCUCUUCAAAGUGUUUACUAGUUUUAAUACUACUAUUUGAGCCAAGUAAUACAUUGAUAAUUACUGAAAGACAAACAAAAUUAUUCAUUUAUUGUUUAAAAAUAUAUUUUAAGCUACCCUGAAAUUGGAGACGAUGGUCACUAGCCGUUAACUGUCCACUGCUGGACAUAAAGGCCAAGGCCUGCCUUCUUCACAAGGGGAGUUUGCCAGUAGUUAUCACGCUUGGCAGACGGGUUGACAACCGCAAUUACACUUUUAGAGAUGUUUUAAGAGGGACGCUGCUGCCCAUCCCUCGCCCUCAUCAUCACAUCAUAAAUUACAUAUAUGAUACUAUAUUUUAAUUUACUUAUUUAUUUAUUUAACUUUUUAUCAUCACUAGGGCAAUGGGCAAUGGCAAACCCAACUUUUGAUUAAAGGAGAAUAGUUAGAAGUGGGUAGAUGGCGCAAGAGUGAAUUAAUAAUUUUUAUAUGCAUAAAAUAUAAAAACCAAUACUGCAUAAAAAUAGCAAAUACAUAUUAUUUAAUAAUACAUAUACAUUCACAUAUAAAUACAUACAUAGCAUAUACAAGGAAAUAUGAUAAGUUCAGUAAAAUAUUACAGAAGAAAGGAAAAAAGUAACUACAAUGAGAGAAAAUGCGAUUUAACUUGUCCUUUAAACGAAGCGAAGGAUUUGUGCACUCAGUGUAGAAGGUGACAGCAAGUUCCAUAGACACACAGCCUGAAUGGAUGAAAAAAGAUUUUGUAUAAUGCACGGAGAUAUGUGAACUGCAUUUCACAGAAAUAUAAAUUGCUCUUUGAGGUAAUAAGGUGUGAAAGAAUUGAAUAGAAUAUAAUAAAGAAGAGAAAGUAUGUGAACAGGAAACAUUUAGUAGUAUAAUAUUUGCCUACCUUCCAUUCUUUAAUCACCUAUUCUAAAAAAUGUAUAAUAAAAGAAAAUUUAAAUAAAUAACUACAAUUGGCUACAUAAGAGGUUCACAGGAGUAUGUACUUACUUUUUUC
Long non-coding RNA from Galleria mellonella (greater wax moth), 1364 nucleotides. RefSeq lists it as uncharacterized. NCBI's taxonomy places the organism in Eukaryota, Metazoa, Arthropoda, Insecta, Lepidoptera, Pyralidae. The transcript is spliced from 4 exons. The record is from RefSeq and is a predicted model, not a curated record.